GACGAACGCUGGCGGCGUGCUUAACACAUGCAAGUCGAACGGUAAGGCCCUUCGGGGUACACGAGUGGCGAACGGGUGAGUAACACGUGGGUGAUCUGCCCUGCACUUCGGGAUAAGCCUGGGAAACUGGGUCUAAUACCGGAUAGGACCACUGCCUGCAUGGGUGGUGGUGGAAAGCUCUUGCGGUGUGGGAUGGGCCCGCGGCCUAUCAGCUUGUUGGUGGGGUGAUGGCCUACCAAGGCGACGACGGGUAGCCGGCCUGGGAGGGUGACCGGCCACACUGGGACUGAGAUACGGCCCAGCCUCCGACGGGAGGCAGCAGUGGGGAAUAUUGCACAAUGGGCGCAAGCCUGAUGCAGCGACGCCGCGCGAGGGAUGACGGCCUUCGGGUUGUAAACCUCUUUCAGCACCGACGAAGCGCAAGUGACGGUAGGUGCAGAAGAAGGACCGGCCAACUACGUGCCAGCCGCCGCGGUAA
This 478-nucleotide ribosomal RNA is filed under the name uncultured bacterium. Its description in RNAcentral is "partial 16S ribosomal RNA". It matches the Rfam family "Bacterial small subunit ribosomal RNA", at positions 28 to 523 of the family's 1533-position model. The record is from RNAcentral.